UACGUAGGGGGCUAGCGUUGUCCGGAUUUAUUGGGCGGAAAGAGCGUGUAGGCGGCCUGGUAGGUCUGCUGUGAAAACUCGAGGCUCAACCUCGAGAUGUCGGCGGAAACCAUCUGGCUAGAGUCCGGAAGAGGAGAGUGGAAUUCCUGGUGUAGCGGUGAAAUGCGCAGAUAUCAGGAAGAACACCUAUGGCGAAGGCAGCUCUCUGGGACGGUACUGACGCUGAGACGCGAAAGCGUGGGGAGCGAACAGG
RNAcentral lists this ribosomal RNA (253 nucleotides) under uncultured bacterium. RNAcentral describes it as "partial 16S ribosomal RNA". It matches the Rfam family "Bacterial small subunit ribosomal RNA", at positions 524 to 776 of the family's 1533-position model. The record is from RNAcentral.